CUGCUCUUUUUCAGUGGCACAGAUACUAAAACUGGAAUGAUACAGAGAAGAUUAACAUGGCUCCUGCAAAUGGAUAACAUUUGCAUCAUGAAGCAUUUCACAUUCUU
Molecule: small nuclear RNA, 107 nt
Organism: Apodemus sylvaticus (European woodmouse)
Lineage: Eukaryota; Metazoa; Chordata; Mammalia; Rodentia; Muridae
Source: RefSeq, a predicted model, not a curated record